AGAAUUUGCUGUUAUUGCCAGUCCGUCCUCACAAUGUAGAGAUCUUAUCUUGAAGCAUUAAGAGCAAGAACACUGGAGCCAGCCUGCCUGGGCUCAAACCCCAGCUCUGUGUGCCUGAGUGGAUGGACAGUUAUGAAAAUCAAAUAAGCCAGUGCAUGUAAAAUCUUAGAAUAAUGCCUAUUGCAUGAGGUGAUAGAGAUCUGGCUUCUCACAGACAGCAGAACUUCAAAAGGAAUUGAGUUAUGGAUAAUGAUGAUGAAGAGCUCAGCAGAGCCAUGAAGACCGGAAGAUAAAACCGGUAACAGAUAACCUGUGGAGCUUGUUGGCUGAGGCAGCACUUCUUUCCACUUUUUUGUUUGUUUGUUUGUUUCAAACAGAGUCUCACUCGGUCACCCAGGCUGAAGUGCAGUAGCGUGAUCUCAGCUCACUGCAACCUCUGCCUCCCAGGCUCAAGCAAUCUGCCUACCUCAGCAUCCCAAGUAGCUGGGACUACAAGCAUGUGCCACCAUGCUGGACUAAUUUUUUGUAGUUUUUGUAGAAACGGGGUUUCAACAUGUUGCCCAGGCUGAUUUCGACCUCCUGGUCUCAAAUGAUCCUCCCACCUCAGCCUCCCAAAGUGCUAGGAUUACAGGCGUGAGCCAUUGCACCUGGCCCGUCUUUUUAUUUUUGAUAGAAAACAAAUUCCCAACCUUCCUUGCAGCUGUGUGUAGGUAAGUGACUAGUCCUGGCCCAAAGGAUGUAAGUGGAAGUGGUGAGUGCAGCUUCCAGGAAGUUUCCUUGAAAGGAUUUUUCUCCCUUAUCUUUUUCCUGCUGUCUGUGAAUGCAGAACUGAUGACUGGAGUUCAAGCAAGCCUGCUGGCUCAUGAGGUAAACAGGAGUCAUGCUUGGUGGAACCACAAGGGAGAAAGCUCCUGACUUCUUGAAUAUUUUGUGGAGCAGAGCUGCUGUACUUUCCCUGGACGACACAUCUUCUAAUUUUUAUUUGAGAGAAAAAUAACCUUCUAUCUUUUAAAGCCAUUGUUAAUUUUGGAUUCUUCUAUUACUCAUAUCCCAACCCAAUCUGAGUAAACACAGCCUUACAAUGAGUAAAUGCUGAAUACAUUUUGAUCUAUUAAAUUAUUAAAUAAAGACAGGGUUGUCUGCAAAAGAAGGUUGUGACACAGAAAAUGUAGACCAGUGUGGGCCAAGAUCAGUGUAGGAAGAAGAGGCUCAGGAGACUCUUAGGUGCACAAUAUAAGGGAAAAAAAAUCCAGAUCAAGCCUGAGCAGACAAUUCUCUU
Molecule: long non-coding RNA, 1279 nt
Filed under: Homo sapiens (human)
Lineage: Eukaryota; Metazoa; Chordata; Mammalia; Primates; Hominidae
Description: HSALNT0224146
Source: RNAcentral